UGUUAUGGCGGCUGUGCGCGGGAGAUCUUCGGAUCUGCCGGGUGUCUAGGUGACCGGUUCGCUAACCUGCGUACAGCUGCCACCCUU
This 87-nucleotide non-coding RNA is filed under the name Pseudomonas salomonii. Lineage: Bacteria; Pseudomonadati; Pseudomonadota; Gammaproteobacteria; Pseudomonadales; Pseudomonadaceae. The record is from RNAcentral.